GAUGAACGCUGGCGGCGUGCCUAAUACAUGCAAGUCGAGCGAACGGACGAGAAGCUUGCUUUUCUGAUGUUAGCGGCGGACGGGUGAGUAACACGUGGAUAACCUACCUAUAAGACUGGGAUAACUUCGGGAAACCGGAGCUAAUACCGGAUAAUAUUUUGAACCGCAUGGUUCAAAAGUGAAAGACGGUCUUGCUGUCACUUAUAGAUGGAUCCGCGCUGCAUUAGCUAGUUGGUAAGGUAACGGCUUACCAAGGCAACGAUGCAUAGCCGACCUGAGAGGGUGAUCGGCCACACUGGAACUGAGACACGGUCCAGACUCCUACGGGAGGCAGCAGUAGGAAAUCUUCCGCAACGGGCGAAAGCCUGACGGAGCAACGCCGCGUGAGUGAUGAAGGUCUUCGGAUCGUAAAACUCUGUUAUUAGGGAAGAACAUACGUGUAAGUAACUGUGCACAUCUUGACGGUACCUAAUCAGAAAGCCACGGCUAACUACGUG
This 497-nucleotide ribosomal RNA is filed under the name uncultured bacterium. RNAcentral describes it as "partial 16S ribosomal RNA". It matches the Rfam family "Bacterial small subunit ribosomal RNA", at positions 28 to 507 of the family's 1533-position model. The record is from RNAcentral.